Molecule: ribosomal RNA, 1269 nt
Filed under: Salmonella enterica subsp. enterica serovar Kentucky
Lineage: Bacteria; Pseudomonadati; Pseudomonadota; Gammaproteobacteria; Enterobacterales; Enterobacteriaceae
Description: partial 23S ribosomal RNA
Rfam family: Bacterial large subunit ribosomal RNA
Source: RNAcentral
UCUGGUGUUGAAGGCCCUGCAAAGCAGCAUCGCGGUGGCGGAGCGUCGUUUGCGACGCCCAACACACAAAACAAGCGGUGAGUGCUUUGGGGUGGGGUGACUGCGUACCUUUUGUAUAAUGGGUCAGCGACUUAUAUUCUGUAGCAAGGUUAACCGUAUAGGGGAGCCGAAGGGAAACCGAGUCUUAACUGGGCGUUAAGUUGCAGGGUAUAGACCCGAAACCCGGUGAUCUAGCCAUGGGCAGGUUGAAGGUUGGGUAACACUAACUGGAGGACCGAACCGACUAAUGUUGAAAAAUUAGCGGAUGACUUGUGGCUGGGGGUGAAAGGCCAAUCAAACCGGGAGAUAGCUGGUUCUCCCCGAAAGCUAUUUAGGUAGCGCCUCGUGAACUCAUCUUCGGGGGUAGAGCACUGUUUCGGCUAGGGGGUCAUCCCGACUUACCAACCCGAUGCAAACUGCGAAUACCGAAGAAUGUUAUCACGGGAGACACACGGCGGGUGCUAACGUCCGUCGUGAAGAGGGAAACAACCCAGACCGCCAGCUAAGGUCCCAAAGUCACAGUUAAGUGGGAAACGAUGUGGGAAGGCUCAGACAGCCAGGAUGUUGGCUUAGAAGCAGCCAUCAUUUAAAGAAAGCGUAAUAGCUCACUGGUCGAGUCGGCCUGCGCGGAAGAUGUAACGGGGCUAAACUGUGCACCGAAGCUGCGGCAGCGACGCUUAUGCGUUGUUGGGUAGGGGAGCGUUCUGUAAGCCUGCGAAGGUGUCCUGUGAGGGAUGCUGGAGGUAUCAGAAGUGCGAAUGCUGACAUAAGUAACGAUAAUGCGGGUGAAAAGCCCGCUCGCCGGAAGACCAAGGGUUCCUGUCCAACGUUAAUCGGGGCAGGGUGAGUCGACCCCUAAGGCGAGGCCGAAAGGCGUAGUCGAUGGGAAACGGGUUAAUAUUCCCGUACUUGGUGUUACUGCGAAGGGGGGACGGAGAAGGCUAUGUUGGCCGGGCGACGGUUGUCCCGGUUUAAGCGUGUAGGCUGGUUUUCCAGGCAAAUCCGGAAAAUCAAGGCUGAGGCGUGAUGACGAGGCACUACGGUGCUGAAGCAACAAAUGCCCUGCUUCCAGGAAAAGCCUCUAAGCAUCAGGUAACAUCAAAUCGUACCCCAAACCGACACAGGUGGUCAGGUAGAGAAUACCAAGGCGCUUGAGAGAACUCGGGUGAAGGAACUAGGCAAAAUGGUGCCGUAACUUCGGGAGAAGGCACGCUGACACGUAGGUGAAGU